Molecule: transfer RNA, 73 nt
Filed under: Cycas revoluta
Lineage: Eukaryota; Viridiplantae; Streptophyta; Cycadopsida; Cycadales; Cycadaceae
Also listed under: 1 other name
Description: tRNA-Arg
Rfam family: tRNA
About the family: Transfer RNA (tRNA) molecules are approximately 80 nucleotides in length. Their secondary structure includes four short double-helical elements and three loops (D, anti-codon, and T loops). Further hydrogen bonds mediate the characteristic L-shaped molecular structure. tRNAs have two regions of fundamental functional importance: the anti-codon, which is responsible for specific mRNA codon recognition, and the 3' end, to which the tRNAs corresponding amino acid is attached (by aminoacyl-tRNA synthetases). tRNAs cope with the degeneracy of the genetic code in two manners: having more than one tRNA (with a specific anti-codon) for a particular amino acid; and 'wobble' base-pairing, i.e. permitting non-standard base-pairing at the 3rd anti-codon position.
Source: RNAcentral
GCAUUCUUGGCCCAGUUGGAUGGAGCAACAACCUCCUAAGUCGAUGGUCACAGGUUCGACCCCUGUAGAAUGC